AUGUUACUCCCUCCGAUACAUAUUAAUUGUCUUAAAUUUGCCCAAACAUGGAUGUAUCUAUGACUAAAAAGCGUCGUCUAGAUACAUGUAAUAUUUCGACAAUUAAUAUGGAUCGGAGGGAGUACUUU
Molecule: non-coding RNA, 128 nt
Organism: Brachypodium distachyon (stiff brome)
Lineage: Eukaryota; Viridiplantae; Streptophyta; Magnoliopsida; Poales; Poaceae
Source: Rfam